Oncorhynchus keta (chum salmon) is the source of this 966-nucleotide long non-coding RNA. RefSeq lists it as uncharacterized. The transcript has 3 exons. The record is from RefSeq and is a predicted model, not a curated record. NCBI's taxonomy places the organism in Eukaryota, Metazoa, Chordata, Actinopteri, Salmoniformes, Salmonidae.
UUGGAGCCCUCCUUCCUGUCUUACUUCCUGUUGUCCUCAGACUGCAGGGGAACUUGGAUUAUCCAUACCAACUGACUGAUGGGACCCUGCUUGUGUGUUGUUGUCCUGAGAAGAUGUGUUCCGGAAGGAGAAACAGAGAAACAGAGCCCUGCCUGUCUGGUGGUGAAGGAUCAGGGAGCUGCGACCGAGCUAAUGAACACCAGGUUUACACUGAGACAACCGAGGACAUGGACUACCCCUCUAUCCCAGGAGGUAUGUAGGGUAGUGAACCAGUCAGUCUCUAUCCCAGGAGGUAUGUAGGGUAGUGAACCAGUCAGUCUCUAUCCCAGGAGGUAUGUAGGGUAGUGGACCAGUCAGUCUCUAUCCCAGGAGGUAUGUAGGGUAGUGAACCCGUCAGUCUCUAUCCCAGGAGGUAUGUAGGGUAGUGGACCAGUCAGUCUCUAUCCCAGGAGGUAUGUAGGGUAGUGGACCAGUCAGUCUCUAUCCCAGGAGGUAUGUAGGGUAGUGAACCAGUCAGUCUCUAUCCCAGGAGGUAUGUAGGGUAGUGGACCAGUCAGUCUCUAUCCCAGGAGGUAUGUAGGGUAGUGGACCAGUCAGUCUCUAUCCCAGGAGGUAUGUAGGGUAGUGAACCAGUCAGUCUCUAUCCCAGGAGGUAUGUAGGGUAGUGGACCAGUCAGUCUCUAUCCCAGGAGGUAUGUAGGGUAGUGGACCAGUCAGUCUCUAUCCCAGGAGGUAUGUAGGGUAGUGAACCAGUCAGUCUCUAUCCCAGGAGGUAUGUAGGGUAGUGAACCAGUCAGUCUCUAUCCCAGGAGGUAUGUAGGGUAGUGAACCAGUCAGUCUCUAUCCCAGGAGGUAUGUAGGGUAGUGAACCAGUCAGUCUCUAUCCCAGGAGGUAUGUAGGGUAGUGGACCAGUCAGUCUCUAUCCCAGGAGGUAUGUAAGGUAGUGAACCCAGGAGGUAUGUAGG